Non-coding RNA from Pocillopora verrucosa, 538 nucleotides. The record is from RefSeq and is a predicted model, not a curated record. Lineage: Eukaryota; Metazoa; Cnidaria; Anthozoa; Scleractinia; Pocilloporidae.
AGCUGUUGAAUCUGAGGAGCAGGUGGAAAUUGAAGAGAUUUCAGUACCCAGUAACAAAGAAGCUAGAAAAGCUGAAGAAGAAGAGGAGAUGCAUGAGCCUGACAUGGAUGUCGUAGAGGAAGGGGAAGAAGACGUGUUUGAUACCAGGCCGCUUUAGUACUUUCAAGUUUCCAAGAGCCAAAAACAUUGCCAUUAGUAUGGAGACCGCGAGGGCUAGAGAAAAACUAAAAAAUUUCAAGGAAAAGGAGAAAAAUAAUUCUAGUAAUCAAUACAUACUGUCUAUGGUAACAUCUUAGUCUUUAAUUUCUUUUUCUUAGAUUUAAUGUUAUCAAUACUCAGUAACUUUGCUUUCUGAACUUAUCAUUGUAUGGUAACAAGAUAUAGUUGGAGUGGAACAUAUUGCGCUAUAUCUGAGUGGGCGUGUAAUUUCUUUUUCUUAGAUUUAAUGUUAACAAUACUCAGUAGCUUUGUUGUCUGAACUUAUCAUUGUAUGGUAACAAGGUAUAGUUGAAGUAGAACAUAUUGAGCUAUAUCUGAG